GGAAAUGACCAGCCCCUCCCCCUUGCUGGCGGGAAAGCAUGGCGUCUGCUCCUCUCUUGGAGCUGAUGAGCACUCGAAUGGGAACCCUUUCUCUGCCUUCUGGUGGCACUUUGUUUUGUUCUUCACUGUCAGGAAACAAGAAAAGCGCCCCCUGGACCUAACACCCCCUACUCCGGAUCUUCCCACUCAGGUCUCAGAUACCAUCCUGCCUGUCCCAGAUUCCCACUGUUGUGAAAUCAACAGGAAGCCCUGCCAGAAAUCAAAUCUUCGCUGGAUGGACAGUCAAAAGGCUCCAGCUGCCAUGAAUUUCAGAGCAGAGGUAAAGGUUGAAGAAUUUGACUGA
Molecule: long non-coding RNA, 343 nt
Filed under: Mustela putorius furo (domestic ferret)
Lineage: Eukaryota; Metazoa; Chordata; Mammalia; Carnivora; Mustelidae
Description: lncRNA (ENSMPUG00000029482.1)
Source: RNAcentral